Molecule: non-coding RNA, 254 nt
Organism: Pogona vitticeps (central bearded dragon)
Lineage: Eukaryota; Metazoa; Chordata; Lepidosauria; Squamata; Agamidae
Source: RefSeq, a predicted model, not a curated record
CAAUCGUCCUCCCAUCACUGAAGGCAUGGAUGGAAGAAACAGGAUACAGCAAACUUUGGGUAGCUAAAUAUAGGUUCCCCAUGGUCUUCAUCUUGGAAACACUGGUGAGCAUUCUGGAGAGAGCAGCAGUAAUCAUACUUAAUCAGGAUUAGAAGAGGCUGGAUUGCUCACAUUGUUAGCAGGAAAGAAGAAAGAAACCACCCCUUCCAUUUUUUUACCUCAACACUUUUGGCCAGAAACGUAUGAAAACACAG